AUCCGGCUGACGAGUCCCGAAUACGACGAAACGCACAUCCUGGAU
Molecule: non-coding RNA, 45 nt
Organism: Schistosoma curassoni
Lineage: Eukaryota; Metazoa; Platyhelminthes; Trematoda; Strigeidida; Schistosomatidae
Source: Rfam